This 497-nucleotide ribosomal RNA is filed under the name uncultured bacterium. Its description in RNAcentral is "bacterial SSU rRNA". It matches the Rfam family "Bacterial small subunit ribosomal RNA", at positions 32 to 507 of the family's 1533-position model. The record is from RNAcentral.
AACGCUGGCGGCGUGCUUAACACAUGCAAGUCGAGCGAGAAAGCACCCUUCGGGGUGUGAGUAAAGCGGCGAACGGGUGAGUAACACGUGGGCAAUCUGCCUGGGAGCGGGGGAUAACCUGGGGAAACUCGGGCUAAUACCGCAUACGUCUUCGAGGCCUCGGCCUCGAAGGGAAAGCUGGCCACUACAUGUAAGCUGGCACUCCCAGAGGAGCCCGCGGUCGAUUAGCUUGAUGGUGAGGUAACGGCUCACCAUGGCGACGAUCGAUAGCCGGCCUGAGAGGGUGAUCGGCCACACUGGGACUGAGACACGGCCCAGACUCCUACGGGAGGCAGCAGUGGGGAGUAUUGGACAAUGGGGCAACCCUGAUCCAGCAACGCCGCGUGGAGGAUGAAGGCCUUCGGGUCGUAAACUCCUGUCAGGUGGGACGAAAAGGUGUCGCUCAAUAGGCGGCGCUCAUGACGGUACCACCAGAGGAAGCCCCGGCUAACUCCGUG